Molecule: small RNA, 482 nt
Filed under: Vigna angularis var. angularis
Lineage: Eukaryota; Viridiplantae; Streptophyta; Magnoliopsida; Fabales; Fabaceae
Description: Non-protein coding transcript
Source: RNAcentral
GAGAGGAUGGUUAGCCCAGUCCAAGGGUUAAACACACCAAAAUAUUCCAUGAUUCAAAUUAUGAGCCAAAUUUGUUAGUCAUGGGGUGAGCAACUAGGAAGCUCUUGGUUGAGCUUAACGGUCAAAUUCUUCAGCCUAUCGUUGAACUCCAAUGCUAUGUUAUUGAAUCUGGCAACACAAUCAUUCCCACCAGCAAUAUUUGUGGUUCUUUCCAGUGGCAAGCAUCCCAUGGGAGGUAACCCUCCUAGGGAUAUCUUCCUAGCACCAAGUUCAUAGAGGCUCCUUAUGAAGUUCUCAGCUAUUCCAGCAAGAAAAAUUUGGUACUGUUGGGGUGUGAAUUGGGAUGCUCUACCAGGCAUGGUGUAGUAGUUCUCAAGAAAGUCAUUUGUGCCAAGACUGGUAAGGUGUAAUGCAUCAGUUAUGGUCUCUUUUGCCUUGCUUUCACCAAGAUAGGCACUCAAAUUCUUUUGGUAUCCCUUGUA